GACGAACGCUGGCGGCGUGCUUAACACAUGCAAGUCGAACGGAAAGGCCUGCUUUCCCUUGUGGAUUGCGGGUACUCGAGUGGCGAACGGGUGAGUAACACGUGAGUGAUCUGCCCCCAACUUGGGUAUAAGCCUGGGAAACUGGGUCUAAUUCCCGAUAGGACUGCAGGGUGGUGCCUGUGGUGGAAAACGAUUUUCUCGUGGUUGGGGAUGAGCUCGCGGCCUAUCAGCUUGUUGGUGGGGUAAUGGCCUACCAAGGCGGCGACGGGUAGCCGGCCUGAGAGGGUGGACAGCCACAUUGGGACUGGGAUACGGCCCAGACGCCUACGGGAGGCAGCAGUGGGGAAUAUUGCACAGUGGGCGGAAGCCUGAUGCGGCGACGCCGCGUGGGGGAUGACGGCCUUGGGGUUGUAAACUCCUUUCGACCGCGGGGAAGCCACCUGGUUGGAAGGGUGGUGACGGUAGUGGUAGAAGAAGCACCGGCUAACUACGUG
RNAcentral lists this ribosomal RNA (494 nucleotides) under uncultured bacterium. RNAcentral describes it as "partial 16S ribosomal RNA". It matches the Rfam family "Bacterial small subunit ribosomal RNA", at positions 28 to 507 of the family's 1533-position model. The record is from RNAcentral.